AUGCUCACUUUAGCAGCACAAAUACUAAAAUUGGAACAAUACAGAGAAGAUUAUCUGGCUCCCAUGCAAGGAUGACACACAAAUCUGUGAAGUGUUCCAUAUUUUU
This is a small nuclear RNA of Otolemur garnettii (small-eared galago), 106 nucleotides long. NCBI's taxonomy places the organism in Eukaryota, Metazoa, Chordata, Mammalia, Primates, Galagidae. The record is from Ensembl.